CUGAAUCAACAGGGGUGGGUCUUUCCUGUGCUGUUCUUUUGACAGUGAAUGGGACUCACAAGAUCUCAUGGUUUUAAAAACGGGAGUUUCCCUGCACAAGUUAUUUUUUUGCCUGCUGCCUUCCACGUAAGAUGUGACUUGCUCCACCUUGCCUUCCGCCAUGAUCGUAAGGCCUCCCCAGCCAUUUGGAACUGUAAGUCUAAGAAGCCUCUUUCUUUCGUAAAUUGCUGAAUCUCAGACAGAGUGUCACUGUAUUGCCCAGGCUGGAAUGGAGUGGUGUAAUCUUGGCUCACUGCAACCUCCGCCUUCUGGGGGUUCAAGCGAUUCUCAUGCCUCAGCCUCCCGAGCAGGCGCACAACACCACGCCCGGCUAAUUUUUGUAUUUUUAGUAGAGAUGGGGUUUUGCUAUGUUGGCCAGGCUGGUCUGACACUCCUAGCCUCAAGUCUGGUCUGCCUGUCCUGGCCUCUCAAAGUACUAGGAUUACAGGCAUGAGCCACCGCACCCAGUCCUGAUUUUAUCUCUUGAUCAUCUGGAUUAAACUGUACCAGAAGACACUCCUGGGACUUUUGGAUUGCGCAAACAAAUAAAUUUUUUCUUUUGCCUGAGUAAUUUUGUGCUGGAUAUCUGUCCUGGCUGAUAUAGUUAUGGCUGAUAUGUUAGACUGACUCUGUAUUUAAGUGUUAGUAGUUAAUUCCUAAUUAAUAGACUAUUAGAUAUCUUACGUUCAAGUAUAUAUCCUUUUUUCUUUGUAAUUUUGUCAAAUCUUUUAAGUAUUCAUUUCUGAUUCAUUUCACCGAACUCUGAAUUUUCUGGAAGGGGUUGGAAAAAGGGUUGUUAUUUCCCUAGUUUGCAUGCUUCAAUCAGACCAGGUGUUGACAGCGGUGUCUGUGUCAAUGCGUCAGUGACUAUGCCCUGCCAGUUACUAAAUAUUUUGAAUAUCAUAUCUAAUUGGUAGGGGGACACUGUUCUAAGUUGUUCUUUGAAUAUAUUUUUUGUUUGUGGACAAUGAUCUUAAUAUAACUGAC
This 1026-nucleotide long non-coding RNA is filed under the name Homo sapiens (human). RNAcentral describes it as "HSALNT0064203". Lineage: Eukaryota; Metazoa; Chordata; Mammalia; Primates; Hominidae. The record is from RNAcentral.